CCUACGGGAGGCAGCAGUAGGGAAUCUUUCACAAUGGGCGAAAGCCUGAUGGAGCAACGCCGCAUGCAGGAUGAAGGCCUUCGGGUUGUAAACUGCUUUUAUAAGCGAGAAAUAUGAUGGUAACUUAUGAAUAAGGAUCGGCUAACUACGUGCCAGCAGCCGCGGUCAUACGUAGGAUCCGAGCAUUAUCCGGAGUGACUGGGUGUAAAGAGUUGCGUAGGUGGCAUAAUAAGUAGCUAGUGAAAUCUGGUGGCUCAACCAUUCAGACUAUUAGCUAAACUGUUAAGCUCGAGACCGUUAGGGGUAACUGGAAUUUCUAGUGUAGGAGUGAAAUCCGUAGAUAUUAGAAGGAACACCAAUAGCGUAGGCAGGUUGCUGGGACGGUUCUGACACUAAGGCACGAAAGCGUAGGGAGCAAACGGGAUUAGAUACCCGAGUAGUC
RNAcentral lists this ribosomal RNA (442 nucleotides) under uncultured bacterium. RNAcentral describes it as "partial 16S ribosomal RNA". It matches the Rfam family "Bacterial small subunit ribosomal RNA", at positions 338 to 795 of the family's 1533-position model. The record is from RNAcentral.